CCUACGGGAGGCAGCAGUAGGGAAUCUUCCACAAUGGGCGAAAGCCUGAUGGAGCAACGCCGCGUGGGUGAAGAAGGUCUUCGGAUCGUAAAACCCUGUUGUUAGAGAAGAAAGUGCGUGAGAGUAACUGUUCACGUUUCGACGGUAUCUAACCAGAAAGCCACGGCUAACUACGUGCCAGCAGCCGCGGUAAUACGUAGGUGGCAAGCGUUAUCCGGAUUGAUUGGGUGUAAAGGGAACGCAGGCGGUUUUUUAAGUCUGAUGUGAAAGCCUUCGGCUUAACCGGAGUAGUGCAUUGGAAACUGGGAGACUUGAGUGCAGAAGAGGAGAGUGGAACUCCAUGUGUAGCGGUGAAAUGCGUAGAUAUAUGGAAGAACACCAGUGGCGAAAGCGGCUCUCUGGUCUGUAACUGACGCUGAGGUUCGAAAGCGUGGGUAGCAAACAGGAUUAGAUACCCCGGUAGUC
Molecule: ribosomal RNA, 465 nt
Filed under: uncultured bacterium
Lineage: Bacteria
Description: partial 16S ribosomal RNA
Rfam family: Bacterial small subunit ribosomal RNA
Source: RNAcentral